This 78-nucleotide transfer RNA is filed under the name Myoviridae sp. ctNQV2. Its description in RNAcentral is "tRNA-Gly". It matches the Rfam family "tRNA". From Rfam's summary of the family: Transfer RNA (tRNA) molecules are approximately 80 nucleotides in length. Their secondary structure includes four short double-helical elements and three loops (D, anti-codon, and T loops). The record is from RNAcentral. Lineage: Duplodnaviria; Heunggongvirae; Uroviricota; Caudoviricetes.
GCGAGUGUCGCAUAGUGGUCGAUUGCACUAGAUUUCCAAUCUAGAAAUACCGUGGGUUCGAAUCCCACUACUCGCUCA